This 460-nucleotide ribosomal RNA is filed under the name uncultured bacterium. Its description in RNAcentral is "partial 16S ribosomal RNA". It matches the Rfam family "Bacterial small subunit ribosomal RNA", at positions 338 to 795 of the family's 1533-position model. The record is from RNAcentral.
CCUACGGGUGGCAGCAGUGAGGAAUAUUGGUCAAUGGUCGGGAGCCUGAACCAGUCAAGCCGCGUGAGGGAUGAAGGUACAGAGUAUCGUACACCUCUUUUGUCAGGGAACAAAGGCGGGGCCGCGUCCCCGGAUGAGUGUACCUGAAGAAAAAGCAUCGGCUAACUCCGUGCCAGCAGCCGCGGUAAUACGGAGGAUGCGAGCGUUAUCCGGAUUUAUUGGGUUUAAAGGGUGUGCAGGCGGUCCGUUAAGUCAGCGGUCAAAGCGCGGGGGUCAAACCCGGUCCCGCCGUUGAUACUGGCAGUCUCGAGUUGGAGAGAGGUAUGCGGAAUGCGCGGUGGAGCGGUGAAAUGCAUAGAUAUCGCGCAGAACUCCGAUUGCGAAGGCAGCAUGCCGGCUCCACACUGACGCUGAGGCACGAAAGCGUGGGUAUCGAACAGGAUUAGAUACCCCUGUAGUC